GACGAACGCUGGCGGCGUGCUUAACACAUGCAAGUCGAACGGAAAGGCCCUGCUUGCAGGGUACUCGAGUGGCGAACGGGUGAGUAACACGUGGGUUAUCUGCCCUGCACUUCGGGAUAAGCCUGGGAAACUGGGUCUAAUACCGGAUAGGAGCCAUUUUUAGUGUGAUGGUUGGAAAGUUUUUUCGGUGUAGGAUGAGCUCGCGGCCUAUCAGCUUGUUGGUGGGGUAAUGGCCUACCAAGGCGGCGACGGGUAGCCGGCCUGAGAGGGUGGACAGCCACAUUGGGACUGAGAUACGGCCCAGACUCCUACGGGAGGCAGCAGUGGGGAAUAUUGCACAAUGGGCGCAAGCCUGAUGCAGCGACGCCGCGUGGGGGAUGACGGCCUUCGGGUUGUAAACUCCUUUCGCUAGGGACGAAGCUUUUUGUGACGGUACCUAGAUAAGAAGCACCGGCUAACUACGU
RNAcentral lists this ribosomal RNA (464 nucleotides) under uncultured bacterium. Its description in RNAcentral is "partial 16S ribosomal RNA". It matches the Rfam family "Bacterial small subunit ribosomal RNA", at positions 28 to 506 of the family's 1533-position model. The record is from RNAcentral.